Molecule: ribosomal RNA, 253 nt
Filed under: uncultured bacterium
Lineage: Bacteria
Description: partial 16S ribosomal RNA
Rfam family: Bacterial small subunit ribosomal RNA
Source: RNAcentral
UACGUAGGGUGCAGGCGUUAUUCGGAAUUACUGGGCGUAAAGGGUGCGCAGGCGGUUUCUUAAGUCAGAUGUGAAAGCCCCGGGCUUAACCUGGGAACUGCGUUUGAAACUGGGAGACUUGAGUGUGGCAGAGGGGGGUGGAAUUCCACGUGUAGCAGUGAAAUGCGUAGAUAUGUGGAGGAACACCGAUGGCGAAGGCAGCCCCCUGGGUUAACACUGACGCUCAUGCACGAAAGCGUGGGGAGCAAACAGG